Molecule: long non-coding RNA, 390 nt
Organism: Felis catus (domestic cat)
Lineage: Eukaryota; Metazoa; Chordata; Mammalia; Carnivora; Felidae
Exons: 3
Source: RefSeq, a predicted model, not a curated record
CUUCUCAGCCAGUGGGAAAAGAGCUGGUUCGGGGAAGUCCCGCCCUGGCCCCGCCUUUCCCUGGCUGGGCGCCUGCGCGGGCAGUCCUUCUUGGUUCAGUCCCAGUUCCUUUGGUCACUGGCUCGUGACUUCCGAGCUGUUUUCUUCAAAAGCCUCUUCCUCGGUAGAAGGGAGAGAUUUGGAGUUCUGGUGUCUGCAAUUAGUUGAAUUAUGACAGACUCCUAGCAGUAGAAUUAUAGGUCGAAAGGUUUUUAUGUGGUUUUCCAAUGAAAAUAUCUGCUUCAUAGCAGAGACUAUGUAUGAUCUACUCAUCACUGUUUUUGCAAGAAUCCAGCACACUGCCUGGUAAAUAGUAGGGGUUCUAUAAAUAAUGAAAAUGAGAAGGAAUAA